GAUGAACGCUGGCGGCGUGCUUAACACAUGCAAGUCGAACGGAAAGGCCAGUGCUUGCACUGGUGCUCGAGUGGCGAACGGGUGAGUAACACGUGGGUGAUCUGCCCUGCACUUUGGGAUAAGCCUGGGAAACUGGGUCUAAUACCAGAUAGGACCAUGCUUUGGAUGGUGUGGUGGAAAGUUUUUUCGGUGUGGGAUGAGCUUGCGGCCUAUCAGCUUGUUGGUGGGGUAAUGGCCUACCAAGGCGUCGACGGGUAGCCGGCCUGAGAGGGUGUACGGCCACAUUGGGACUGAGAGACGGCCCAGACUCCUACGGGAGGCAGCAGUGGGGAAUAUUGCACAAUGGGCGCAAGCCUGAUGCAGCGACGCCGCGUGGGGGAUGACGGCCUUCGGGUUGUAAACUCCUUUCGCAACUGACGAAGCUUUUUGUGACGGUAGGUGGAGAAGAAGCACCGGCUAACUACGUG
Molecule: ribosomal RNA, 467 nt
Filed under: uncultured bacterium
Lineage: Bacteria
Description: partial 16S ribosomal RNA
Rfam family: Bacterial small subunit ribosomal RNA
Source: RNAcentral